Molecule: long non-coding RNA, 461 nt
Organism: Chelonia mydas (Green sea turtle)
Lineage: Eukaryota; Metazoa; Chordata; Testudines; Cheloniidae
Exons: 3
Source: RefSeq, a predicted model, not a curated record
GGUGAGAGGACCUCCUGCCUCGCAACUCCCCAGGCUGCAGGCCUUGUGCAAGGCCAAACCAGAUCUCUAUCAGCUUUACAAGAGAGGGAAAACACUGUGUACAAGGUGAAGAGGAAGGGGUGUGGCCAGGAUGCUCUGUUGAUCUCUGGUUAGCAGAUUCCCCCAUGGUGGGGAGGGCAUACCCAGGAACCCUGAAUCUAGCCCCGUUUGUGUGUAAAUGGAGUGGUGGGCCUGGCACCUUACAGUCAAAAUAAAAAUAUAGGUACUUGGUUUAAAGGGCUUUCCAACUAAGUUAAAGGCAGAACAGCACAAAAGAACAAACAAAGGGUGCUGAGUAAUGGUAUAGGAUGGCUGAGGGUUACUCCAUUAAAACAAAUCAGAGGAUAUUAUGUCUGUUAUGUGUCUAAGUCAAGUCUGUUAUGUGCACUUCUUGUUUAGUACCAUUUUAAGAACCUUUUAAA